RNAcentral lists this ribosomal RNA (253 nucleotides) under uncultured bacterium. RNAcentral's name for it is "partial 16S ribosomal RNA". It matches the Rfam family "Bacterial small subunit ribosomal RNA", at positions 524 to 776 of the family's 1533-position model. The record is from RNAcentral.
UACGGAGGGUGCGAGCGUUGUCCGGAAUCACUGGGCGUAAAGGGCGCGUAGGCGGCGCGAGUAGUCAACGGUGAAAGCUCGGGGCUCAACCCCGAGUCGGCCGUGCGAACUGCUGGGCUGGAGCACUGUAGAGGCAGGCGGAAUUCCGGGUGUAGCGGUGGAAUGCGUAGAGAUCCGGAAGAACACCGGUGGCGAAGGCGGCCUGCUGGGCAGUGGCUGACACUGAGGCGCGACAGCGUGGGGAGCAAACAGG